UGAUUUGGAAACUAACUGUUUCGGAGAGAGUGGAAAGUUUUAUAUGGUUGCUUAAGCAUGACAGAAUGCUAACCAAUUACAAUAAAAGCAGAAAAUGAAUGGGGUCUUACAUGUGUGACUUAUGUGGGCAUGUUUGUGAAUCUAUCAUGCAUGCAGUAAAUGGAGUAGUUAUUAGGUUAUGGAGUGAUAUUCUUUGUGGACUUGGCAUAAUAAAGAAGAGCACGAUGAUUUGUUUAUGAGACUGCUUGAUCUGGGACCUUG
Molecule: long non-coding RNA, 261 nt
Filed under: Lathyrus oleraceus (garden pea)
Lineage: Eukaryota; Viridiplantae; Streptophyta; Magnoliopsida; Fabales; Fabaceae
Description: Pisum sativum (pea) long non-coding RNA (PSAT_LNC017541)
Source: RNAcentral